GCAGAAAGAAGCGCCGGGCUAACUACGUGCCAGCAGCCGCGGUAAUACGUAGGGCGCUAGCGUAUCCGGAAAUUAUUGGGCGUAAAGAGCUCGUAGGCGGUUUGUCGCGUCUGCCGUGAAAGUCCGGGGCUCAACUCCGGAUCUGCGGUGGGUACGGGCAGACUAGAGUGAUGUAGGGGAGACUGGAAUUCCUGGUGUAGCGGUGAAAUGCGCAGAUAUCAGGAGGAACACCGAUGGCGAAGGCAGGUCUCUGGGCAUUAACUGACGCUGAGGAGCGAAAGCAUGGGGAGCGAACAGGAUUAGAUACCCUGGUAGUCCAUGCCGUAAACGUUGGGCACUAGGUGUGGGGGACAUUCCACGUUUUCCGCGCCGUAGCUAACGCAUUAAGUGCCCCGCCUGGGGAGUACGGCCGCAAGGCUAAAACUCAAAGGAAUUGACGGGGGCCCGCACAAGCGGCGGAGCAUGCGGAUUAAUUCGAUGCAACGCGAAGAACCUUACCAAGGCUUGACAUGAACCGGACCGCUGCAGAAAUGUGGUUUCCCCUUUGGGGCUGGUUUACAGGUGGUGCAUGGUUGUCGUCAGCUCGUGUCGUGAGAUGUUGGGUUAAGUCCCGCAACGAGCGCAACCCUCGUUCUAUGUUGCCAGCACGUGAUGGUGGGGACUCAUAGGAGACUGCCGGGGUCAACUCGGAGGAAGGUGGGGACGACGUCAAAUCAUCAUGCCCCUUAUGUCUUGGGCUUCACGCAUGCUACAAUGGCCGGUACAAAGGGUUGCGAUACUGUGAGGUGGAGCUAAUCCCAAAAAGCCGGUCUCAGUUCGGAUUGGGGUCUGCAACUCGACCCCAUGAAGUCGGAGUCGCUAGUAAUCGCAGAUCAGCAACGCUGCGGUGAAUACGUUCCCGGGCCUUGUACACACCGCCCGUCAAGUCACGAAAGUUGGUAACACCCGAAGCCGGUGGCCUAACCCCUUGUGGGAGGGAGCUUCGAAUAUA
This 991-nucleotide ribosomal RNA is filed under the name uncultured prokaryote. RNAcentral's name for it is "bacterial SSU rRNA". It matches the Rfam family "Bacterial small subunit ribosomal RNA", at positions 480 to 1464 of the family's 1533-position model. The record is from RNAcentral.